AUUGUUUCUCACCUUAAUAGUAUAAGCUGAAAAUGUAAUCCUCUGUAGUGCAUGUGCUAAGAUCUACAAGAACAAUUUUUUUAGAUGCUUGAACGUGUACUUACUUUGAAUUUUCAUAGAUCUGAAACAGUUACAGGGUCUUCAUUGCAGGCAAGUCCCUAAGCUGAGAAAUACAGAGGUGAGAUCUGAAGCUCUGUGCUGACAGUCAUGGAAGCUACCCUGCACAGGCACAAGGAUCCACACAACACCUUUACUGGGGAACAUCAAUUCAAGAAGGCAACAGAGAUGUUAAUUGUAAUAGAUCCACCGAUGUAAUUCUCAUAACUGAGUUGCUCUAUCUUGACCUACAUCAGCUGUGCAUGAGAACUGCAACUUUCUCUUUUUCACCAAGUGAUUGA
This 398-nucleotide long non-coding RNA is filed under the name Apteryx owenii (little spotted kiwi). RNAcentral describes it as "lncRNA (ENSAOWG00000007874.1)". The record is from RNAcentral. Lineage: Eukaryota; Metazoa; Chordata; Aves; Apterygiformes; Apterygidae.